This 173-nucleotide ribosomal RNA is filed under the name uncultured bacterium. RNAcentral describes it as "partial 16S ribosomal RNA". It matches the Rfam family "Bacterial small subunit ribosomal RNA", at positions 1328 to 1500 of the family's 1533-position model. The record is from RNAcentral.
GGAAUUGCUAGUAAUCGCGAAUCAGAAUGUCGCGGUGAAUACGUUCCCGGGCCUUGUACACACCGCCCGUCACACCAUGAGAGUCGAUAACACCCGAAGCCUGUGAGCUAACCGUAAGGAGGCAGCAGUCGAAGGUGGGGUUGAUGAUUGGGGUGAAGUCGUAACAAGGUAGC